Molecule: ribosomal RNA, 253 nt
Filed under: uncultured bacterium
Lineage: Bacteria
Description: partial 16S ribosomal RNA
Rfam family: Bacterial small subunit ribosomal RNA
Source: RNAcentral
UACGUAGGGGGCUAGCGUUGUCCGGAAUCAUUGGGCGUAAAGCGCGCGUAGGCGGCCCGGUAAGUCCGCUGUAAAAGUCCAGGGCUCAACCCUGGAAAGCCGGUGGAUACUGUCGGGCUCGAGUCCGGAAGAGGCGAGUGGAAUUCCUGGUGUAGCGGUGGAAUGCGCAGAUAUCAGGAGGGACACCAAUGGCGAAGGCAGCUCGCUGGGACGGUACUGACGCUAAGGCGCGAAAGCGUGGGGAGCGAACAGG